Molecule: transfer RNA, 73 nt
Organism: Pelodiscus sinensis (Chinese soft-shelled turtle)
Lineage: Eukaryota; Metazoa; Chordata; Testudines; Trionychidae
Rfam family: tRNA
About the family: Transfer RNA (tRNA) molecules are approximately 80 nucleotides in length. Their secondary structure includes four short double-helical elements and three loops (D, anti-codon, and T loops).
Source: Rfam
GAUUGCAUGGCCUAAAGGACAAGGUGUGUGACUUUGGAUCAAAAGAUUGAGGGUUUGAGUCUAUUUGCAGUUG